AUGGAGAAGAAGCAGGCGAGCUACGGGAAGGGCGCGGCCAGGAUGGCGCCGAUGGAGGUGUCGGUGGAGGCCGGGAACGGCGCCGAGUCCGACUGGCUUGACGACGACGGGCGCCCGCGUCGGACGGGCACGGUGUGGACGGCGAGCGCCCACAUCAUCACCGCCGUCAUCGGCUCGGGCGUCCUCUCGCUGGCGUGGGCCAUCGCCCAGCUCGGCUGGGCGGCGGGCCCCGCCAUCAUGCUCCUGUUCGCGCUCGUCAUCUACUACACCUCCACGCUCCUCGCCGAGUGCUACCGCUCCGGCGACCCGGAGACCGGCAAGCGCAACUACACCUACAUGGACGCCGUCCGCUCCUACCUCCCGGGCACCAAGGUGAAGCUCUGCGGCGUCAUCCAGUACGCCAACCUCGUGGGCGUCGCCAUCGGCUACACCAUCGCCGCCUCCAUCAGCAUGCGGGCGAUCGGGAGGGCGGACUGCUUCCACUACCACGACGUCAGGGGCCGCAGCGGGAAGGACGAGUGCAAGAGCUCCAGCAACCCCUACAUGAUCGUCUUCGGGGUGGUGCAGAUCCUCUUCUCGCAGAUACCGGACUUCGACCAGAUAUGGUGGCUCUCCAUCGUCGCCGCCGUCAUGUCCUUCACCUACUCCACCAUCGGGCUCGGGCUCGGCAUCGCGCAGACCGUCGCCAACGGUGGCAUCCAGGGAAGCCUCACCGGCCUCAGCGUCGGCCCGGGCGUGACCUCCAUGCAGAAGGUGUGGCGCAGCCUCCAGGCCUUCGGCAACAUCGCCUUCGCCUACUCCUACUCCAUCAUCCUCAUCGAAAUCCAGGACACGGUGAAGGCGCCGCCGCCGUCGGAGGCGAAGGUGAUGAAGAAGGCGACGGGGAUAAGCGUGGCGACGACGACGGUAUUCUACAUGCUGUGCGGGUGCAUGGGGUACGCGGCGUUCGGCGACGCGGCGCCCGACAACCUGCUCACGGGGUUCGGCUUCUACGAGCCCUUCUGGCUGCUGGACGUCGCCAACGCCGCCAUCGUGCUGCACCUCGUCGGCGCCUACCAGGUCUUCUGCCAGCCCCUCUUCGCCUUCGUCGAGAAGUGGGCGGCGGCGAGGUGGCCCGACAGCGCCUUCAUCGCCCGGGAGCUCCGCGUGGGGCCAUUCGCCAUCAGCGUCUUCCGGCUCACCUGGCGCACGGCCUUCGUCUGCCUCACCACCGUCGUCUCCAUGCUGCUCCCCUUCUUCGGCGACGUCGUGGGGCUCCUCGGCGCCGUCGCCUUCUGGCCGCUCACCGUCUACUUCCCCGUCGAGAUGUACAUCGUGCAGCGCGGCGUGCGGCGGGGGAGCACGCGGUGGGUUUGCCUCAAGAUGCUCAGCGCCGCCUGCCUCGUCGUGUCCGUCGCCGCCGCCGCCGGGUCCAUAGCCGACGUCAUCGGCGAGCUCAAGGAGUACCGGCCGUUCAGCGGCUGA
Molecule: ribosomal RNA, 1464 nt
Filed under: Triticum aestivum (bread wheat)
Lineage: Eukaryota; Viridiplantae; Streptophyta; Magnoliopsida; Poales; Poaceae
Description: partial small subunit ribosomal RNA
Source: RNAcentral